UAUGAACAUGUUAAUGAUUAAGUGGGUAUUGAUAGAAUGAAGUUUGAUUAAGCUUAGAGCUUAGUAGCCACUAUUGAAUUAUUAAGGACCCAUUUGUAAGAGAUGAGGAGAUAAGGAUUUCUUGAUAAAUAAUGGUAGUUUUAGGUUCCUAGAGAAUAUUUACGAAUCUGGAUUUCGAUUCAAUCUGGAAAAUUGAAAGAUAUAUAAAUUUUGGACAUUAGGGUUAUAGGAAUU
Molecule: long non-coding RNA, 234 nt
Filed under: Gossypium barbadense (sea-island cotton)
Lineage: Eukaryota; Viridiplantae; Streptophyta; Magnoliopsida; Malvales; Malvaceae
Description: long non-coding RNA (GBAR_LNC018441)
Source: RNAcentral